This 253-nucleotide ribosomal RNA is filed under the name uncultured archaeon. RNAcentral's name for it is "partial 16S ribosomal RNA". It matches the Rfam family "Archaeal small subunit ribosomal RNA", at positions 474 to 727 of the family's 1478-position model. The record is from RNAcentral.
AACCAGCACCUCGAGUGGUCAGGAGGUUUAUUGGGCCUAAAGCAUCCGUAGCCGGUUGCAUAAGUUUUCGGUUAAAUCUAUGCGCUCAACGUAUAGGCCGCCGAAAAUACUGUGCAGCUAGGGAGUGGGAGAGGUACACGGUACUCAAUAGGAAGGGGUAAAAUCCUUUGAUCUAUUGAUGACCACCUGUGGCGAAGGCGGUGUAACAGAACACGUUCGACGGUGAGGGAUGAAAGCUGGGGGAGCAAACCGG